Molecule: ribosomal RNA, 465 nt
Filed under: Vreelandella stevensii
Lineage: Bacteria; Pseudomonadati; Pseudomonadota; Gammaproteobacteria; Oceanospirillales; Halomonadaceae
Description: partial 16S ribosomal RNA
Rfam family: Bacterial small subunit ribosomal RNA
Source: RNAcentral
CCUACGGGGGGCUGCAGUGGGGAAUAUUGGACAAUGGGCGAAAGCCUGAUCCAGCCAUGCCGCGUGUGUGAAGAAGGCCUUCGGGUUGUAAAGCACUUUCAGUGGGGAAGAAAGCCUUGGGGCUAAUACCUUCGAGGAAGGACAUCACCCACAGAAGAAGCACCGGCUAACUCCGUGCCAGCAGCCGCGGUAAUACGGAGGGUGCGAGCGUUAAUCGGAAUUACUGGGCGUAAAGCGCGCGUAGGCGGUCUGAUAAGCCGGUUGUGAAAGCCCCGGGCUCAACCUGGGAACGGCAUCCGGAACUGUCAGGCUAGAGUGCAGGAGAGGAAGGUAGAAUUCCCGGUGUAGCGGUGAAAUGCGUAGAGAUCGGGAGGAAUACCAGUGGCGAAGGCGGCCUUCUGGACUGACACUGACGCUGAGGUGCGAAAGCGUGGGUAGCAAACAGGAUUAGAUACCCGUGUAGUC